Molecule: transfer RNA, 152 nt
Filed under: Kibdelosporangium phytohabitans
Lineage: Bacteria; Bacillati; Actinomycetota; Actinomycetes; Pseudonocardiales; Pseudonocardiaceae
Description: tRNA-OTHER
Source: RNAcentral
GGGCGGGUGGCCCAACGGGUAGAGGCAGCCGGACGCUCGCCACGAGAAUCAAACUCUCGCUCGAAUCUCAGUACCUUGCCGUCGAUCGCCAGAUCGACCAGGAACGGACGAGUGCACCCGAGUUGCUGGUUCAACUCCAGCCUGGCCCGCCA